RNAcentral lists this long non-coding RNA (2665 nucleotides) under Triticum aestivum (bread wheat). RNAcentral describes it as "long non-coding RNA (TAES_LNC005808)". The record is from RNAcentral. Lineage: Eukaryota; Viridiplantae; Streptophyta; Magnoliopsida; Poales; Poaceae.
CCCGAGCAAAUCCCCUCCUCUUUCUCCUCUCUCGGCGAGGCCACAGCAAAUCCCCUGCUCUUUCUCUCCCCCGGCGAGGUCACAACACAAUUGGCGAGAGGGUGGAGCUGCAACGUCUUCCUGGCGACCAGAAGGCAGCUGCAACCAUGGAUUGGGGAGCUGCAAACGAUGCUCAGAAGAGUUGCAUCCGGAGUCUACGGGAGCCCCGACUGCUACGGCGAGCUGCAACCGUGGAUAGCGGGAAGCUGGAAUAGGCAUCCAAAGGAGCUGCAACCGGCGUCCUUGGGAGCUGCAGACGAUGAGCGGCGACUAGCUUCAGGCUAUGGCGGCGGUGCGGCCAUGGAACGGUGAGCUUUUAUUCUUUUUCUUUUUUUGCUACAAUCGGCAAGAUGAGAUGUUACAACGGGAUUAGCAAGGUGCUGCUACGACUGCGGCGAGAGGGGAGACGCUGCAGAACAAUGCCAAUUUUUUCUUUUUGCCAUUUUGCUUUUUUUGCUGGAACCAUAUAAUUUUUUUGCUGGAACUAUGUAAUUUUUUUGCGACAAGCAUAUAAAUGUUUUGUUGGAGACCAUCUUAUAUUUUGCUGGAACCACAUAUUUUUUUUGCUGGAACCAUAUAAUUUUUUUGCUGGAACUAUGUAAUUUUUUUGCGACAAGCAUGUAAAUGUUUUGUUGGAGACCAUCUUAUAUUUUGCUGGAACCACAUAUUUUUUUUGCUGGAACCAUAUAAUUUUUUUGCUGGAACCUUGUUUUUUGCUGGAACGUCUCUGUUUUUUUGCUACCAACAACAUCGAAAUUGAUACCAUGGGCGACGAGCAGGACGACACAGGUGCUGCGAGCUGGAACCGGCGCACGCCGGAGCUGCGGCCACCGCCAUCGGAGCUGUGGCCGCCGCCAUGGGAAGCUACAAGUACGGGACACGUUGCUGCAUGCACGGAACUGGCGAGAAACACAGGAGUCCGACAACGGCGAGGGGCGGCGGCCGGCGGCGAGGGGUGGCGACCGGCGAGAUGAGUCGGGCGGUGCUUCUAGGGCAGGCGCAUCGUUCGUCCACGGCGCGAUGGGGAUGUUUCCUAGAGAAGAAGACACAGGGGAAGAAGGAAAAAGAUCGGGCGGCUCUAAUUUUCUGAAUCGCACGGUGCUGAUGUGACCGGCCCAAAUUUGGGCCGGUGCGCCGGCGCCUAGCACCCGCCUAUUCAAAUCAGGGGAAAUAUGAGUAGAUCAAUCGUAGCACCUUCAGAUUUGGUACAUCUUUUUUAUUAUGUUCAUGUAGUGCUGCUGCUUGCCAUGUCCGACCACCUCCACCAUGCUGGCUUCGGACCACCACUGGAGCACCAAGGGUGGUGCCCUCGAGUAGUUACGGGACUCGCGGCAGGUGAGGGGAAGGCCGCCGCCGCCGGAUUCGUCAGGAUGGGCGGCGGCGGCGAUAGGGCGAUGCGGCUAGUCGGCAGGAGCAGAAGCAUCCGCCAGAGCUGCCGGUAGGGAGCGGAGGUACGCCGCACUCGGUCCUCCUGCAGCCGCCGUCCGCGACAGUGUCGACACAGGCCCAAGCGCAGCGGUACUUGGGCUUGCCGAUCUCGCGAUCGAUGACGCGCUGCAUCCCCACCACCAGCACAUAGAGGAGGGUAAGGCACGGCUGGCAGAGGUGUCCCGACUGUGACCUGGAUGGGGAUCAGCGGCGGCUCCUGAAUCGGAUGCGCGAUGGCAAGGGAUCCGCGAUGGCAAGGGGUUCGGCAGCGUCAAAUCUUGCCGUCGACGUAGCGACGAGACAGGCGGCAGCGAAGGGUUCGGUGGCGCAGGGAUCAAUGGCGCUUGAUGGGCGAGCGAUGGCGGCGGCGAAGGUGUCCCGACUGUGACCUGGAUGGGAUCGAGGGCAGUCUGAUCGCCUCGCUCGCUCGUGCGUGUGCGAGUCAUCGAUUUUUUUCAUAGGCUUUUUUUCGCUCGCUCCCUCCUAAUUCUGAUCGCCUCGCUCGCUCCUGGAUCGCUCCCUCCUACCGUGGUUUUGAUGUGUUUCUUGUUGGUUCGCGGGUCCAGAGGGAUCGCUGGGACAUGGGAGAUCGGAGGAAGGACGGAAAAACCAGUUGGUGGGAUGAAAUUUAACCACAGAGAUUACCAACUGAUACAUUAGUAGUAGAAGAUAUAGGGUUAAACUUUUAGAACCAUCACUUACAGUUUUCAUGGGACUAAUUUAAAAUUUUAGAAAUUAUGCGGCCCAAUAUUUCUAACAAAAGUAUAGCCCACACGCUACAAAUGGAGCUUCGUUGGACGCAAUCGUUGCUGCGUUGCAGGCUUGCAGCUUUUGUCGCGCUGCACGGUGCACCAUGAGAGCUGCAAUGAAGCUUCGCCACGCUCAAUGCUACGGGCUACGGCGCAUUGCUGCAAUCGUGAAAUCAUCCGGUUAAUUCGGAGCCACCACCUUUUCAAUUCACCUCGAUCGGUAUGCAACAGCGCAAGUAUGUUGCAACGAGGAUGCAUCUCUUAAAAAGCACGUCCAAUGAAACUCAAGGUUUUGUUGCUUUUCGUAUGUUCUUUUUGGUAUGUAUCCAAUGGAACUUAAGGUUUUGUUGCUUUUUGUAUGUUCUUCUUGGUAUGUGCAGGAGUGACUUUGUGCCAGAGGAUGCAGCCAACAACCAGAGAAGAUAUCCAACUAAUCAUUCAUUCUGCUG